This 2773-nucleotide ribosomal RNA is filed under the name Escherichia coli. Its description in RNAcentral is "bacterial LSU rRNA". It matches the Rfam family "Bacterial large subunit ribosomal RNA". The record is from RNAcentral. Lineage: Bacteria; Pseudomonadati; Pseudomonadota; Gammaproteobacteria; Enterobacterales; Enterobacteriaceae.
AGCGUACACGGUGGAUGCCCUGGCAGUCAGAGGCGAUGAAGGACGUGCUAAUCUGCGAUAAGCGUCGGUAAGGUGAUAUGAACCGUUAUAACCGGCGAUUUCCGAAUGGGGAAACCCAGUGUGAUUCGUCACACUAUCAUUAACUGAAUCCAUAGGUUAAUGAGGCGAACCGGGGGAACUGAAACAUCUAAGUACCCCGAGGAAAAGAAAUCAACCGAGAUUCCCCCAGUAGCGGCGAGCGAACGGGGAGGAGCCCAGAGCCUGAAUCAGUGUGUGUGUUAGUGGAAGCGUCUGGAAAGGCGCGCGAUACAGGGUGACAGCCCCGUACACAAAAAUGCACAUGCUGUGAGCUCGAUGAGUAGGGCGGGACACGUGGUAUCCUGUCUGAAUAUGGGGGGACCAUCCUCCAAGGCUAAAUACUCCUGACUGACCGAUAGUGAACCAGUACCGUGAGGGAAAGGCGAAAAGAACCCCGGCGAGGGGAGUGAAAAAGAACCUGAAACCGUGUACGUACAAGCAGUGGGAGCCUCUUUAUGGGGUGACUGCGUACCUUUUGUAUAAUGGGUCAGCGACUUAUAUUCUGUAGCAAGGUUAACCGAAUAGGGGAGCCGAAGGGAAACCGAGUCUUAACUGGGCGUUAAGUUGCAGGGUAUAGACCCGAAACCCGGUGAUCUAGCCAUGGGCAGGUUGAAGGUUGGGUAACACUAACUGGAGGACCGAACCGACUAAUGUUGAAAAAUUAGCGGAUGACUUGUGGCUGGGGGUGAAAGGCCAAUCAAACCGGGAGAUAGCUGGUUCUCCCCGAAAGCUAUUUAGGUAGCGCCUCGUGAAUUCAUCUCCGGGGGUAGAGCACUGUUUCGGCAAGGGGGUCAUCCCGACUUACCAACCCGAUGCAAACUGCGAAUACCGGAGAAUGUUAUCACGGGAGACACACGGCGGGUGCUAACGUCCGUCGUGAAGAGGGAAACAACCCAGACCGCCAGCUAAGGUCCCAAAGUCAUGGUUAAGUGGGAAACGAUGUGGGAAGGCCCAGACAGCCAGGAUGUUGGCUUAGAAGCAGCCAUCAUUUAAAGAAAGCGUAAUAGCUCACUGGUCGAGUCGGCCUGCGCGGAAGAUGUAACGGGGCUAAACCAUGCACCGAAGCUGCGGCAGCGACACUAUGUGUUGUUGGGUAGGGGAGCGUUCUGUAAGCCUGCGAAGGUGUCCUGUGAGGGAUGCUGGAGGUAUCAGAAGUGCGAAUGCUGACAUAAGUAACGAUAAAGCGGGUGAAAAGCCCGCUCGCCGGAAGACCAAGGGUUCCUGUCCAACGUUAAUCGGGGCAGGGUGAGUCGACCCCUAAGGCGAGGCCGAAAGGCGUAGUCGAUGGGAAACAGGUUAAUAUUCCUGUACUUGGUGUUACUGCGAAGGGGGGACGGAGAAGGCUAUGUUGGCCGGGCGACGGUUGUCCCGGUUUAAGCGUGUAGGCUGGUUUUCCAGGCAAAUCCGGAAAAUCAAGGCUGAGGCGUGAUGACGAGGCACUACGGUGCUGAAGCAACAAAUGCCCUGCUUCCAGGAAAAGCCUCUAAGCAUCAGGUAACAUCAAAUCGUACCCCAAACCGACACAGGUGGUCAGGUAGAGAAUACCAAGGCGCUUGAGAGAACUCGGGUGAAGGAACUAGGCAAAAUGGUGCCGUAACUUCGGGAGAAGGCACGCUGAUAUGUAGGUGAAGUCCCUCGCGGAUGGAGCUGAAAUCAGUCGAAGAUACCAGCUGGCUGCAACUGUUUAUUAAAAACACAGCACUGUGCAAACACGAAAGUGGACGUAUACGGUGUGACGCCUGCCCGGUGCCGGAAGGUUAAUUGAUGGGGUUAGCGGUAACGCGAAGCUCUUGAUCGAAGCCCCGGUAAACGGCGGCCGUAACUAUAACGGUCCUAAGGUAGCGAAAUUCCUUGUCGGGUAAGUUCCGACCUGCACGAAUGGCGUAAUGAUGGCCAGGCUGUCUCCACCCGAGACUCAGUGAAAUUGAACUCGCUGUGAAGAUGCAGUGUACCCGCGGCAAGACGGAAAGACCCCGUGAACCUUUACUAUAGCUUGACACUGAACAUUGAGCCUUGAUGUGUAGGAUAGGUGGGAGGCUUUGAAGUGUGGACGCCAGUCUGCAUGGAGCCGACCUUGAAAUACCACCCUUUAAUGUUUGAUGUUCUAACGUUGGCCCCUGAUCGGGGUUGCGGACAGUGUCUGGUGGGUAGUUUGACUGGGGCGGUCUCCUCCUAAAGAGUAACGGAGGAGCACGAAGGUUGGCUAAUCCUGGUCGGACAUCAGGAGGUUAGUGCAAUGGCAUAAGCCAGCUUGACUGCGAGCGUGACGGCGCGAGCAGGUGCGAAAGCAGGUCAUAGUGAUCCGGUGGUUCUGAAUGGAAGGGCCAUCGCUCAACGGAUAAAAGGUACUCCGGGGAUAACAGGCUGAUACCGCCCAAGAGUUCAUAUCGACGGCGGUGUUUGGCACCUCGAUGUCGGCUCAUCACAUCCUGGGGCUGAAGUAGGUCCCAAGGGUAUGGCUGUUCGCCAUUUAAAGUGGUACGCGAGCUGGGUUUAGAACGUCGUGAGACAGUUCGGUCCCUAUCUGCCGUGGGCGCUGGAGAACUGAGGGGGGCUGCUCCUAGUACGAGAGGACCGGAGUGGACGCAUCACUGGUGUUCGGGUUGUCAUGCCAAUGGCACUGCCCGGUAGCUAAAUGCGGAAGAGAUAAGUGCUGAAAGCAUCUAAGCACGAAACUUGCCCCGAGAUGAGUUCU